Molecule: unclassified non-coding RNA, 658 nt
Filed under: Zea mays
Lineage: Eukaryota; Viridiplantae; Streptophyta; Magnoliopsida; Poales; Poaceae
Description: misc RNA Zm00001eb186750
Source: RNAcentral
CAGAGAGCGCGGAUGCCGGCGGCAGCCACCUGUUGUCGCUGUCGGUGAAGCUGACUCGGUAGGAGAUCGACGCCGACUUCGCCAAGAUCACCGGCAGCAAGGCGCCGCGCCGGCCCAUGAAGUGGAGCAAGACCGUCCAGCGCAAAAUCAAGACGCUUUGCCUAGGGAGUUUGCUGGUGCAGGUGACCCUCGACCGGUACAAGGUGAACGAGAAAGGAAGAUUUUGAUUUCUUCAGUCGCGCGAACAAGAAAGGGGGGAGAGGAAGAGGAGGAGAUGGAUUUCACAACGGAGGAGAUUGAUCGAGCAAUGUCUGCCUCCUCAUCUCGUGAUGCAUCAAUGCUUACCACAAGGAUGGCUGGCGAUUCUUCUGACGGGGCCAACAUUAUUUCUUUAAGAGAAAAUAUAAAUAGAGAACAACAGAUGAACAUGGGAAACCAGCUUGCUCAAUGUCGCCCACUUGCUGAGAUGACUCUUCAGAUACAGAUGCAGCUUCUGCACCUUCCCCAAUUUGAUUCACAUGGACAAUUAGCUCAGCAUCAAUAUUUCCUGCUUUCUCAAGCCUGUCAACUUCACUGAUAAAUGUCAACUUCCAUGGAAUCCUUAGGAGCUUCGGACAUAUUCAAACCUAGAGGAAAGACAUGAUCACAUGGCAGCAAC